RNAcentral lists this unclassified non-coding RNA (390 nucleotides) under soil metagenome. Its description in RNAcentral is "partial contains 5.8S ribosomal RNA, internal transcribed spacer 2, and large subunit ribosomal RNA". The stretch from base 1 to 122 matches the Rfam family "5.8S ribosomal RNA", at positions 35 to 154 of the family's 154-position model. The record is from RNAcentral.
GAUGAAGAACGUAGCGAAAUGCGAUACUUGGUGUGAAUUGCAGAAUCCCGUGAACCAUCGAGUCUUUGAACGCAAGUUGCGCCCGAAGCCACUAGGCCGAGGGCACGCCUGCCUGGGCGUCACACGCCGUUGCCCCCCCAUCUACUCCUUCGGGAUUGCGGGGGGCGGAUGAUGGCCUCCCGUGCGCCUAGCCGCGCGGUUGGCAUAAAUACCAAGUCCUCGGCGACGCACGCCACGACAAUCGGUGGUUGCGAAACCUCGGUUGCUCGUCGUGUGCGUUCGUCGCGCAUCGAGGGCUCGAAAAAAUGCUCGGCUCCGGCUGGGCUUUCAACGCGACCCCAGGUCAGGCGGGGUUACCCGCUGAAUUUAAGCAUAUCAAUAAGCGGAGGA